GAUGAACGCUGGCGAGAUGCUUUACACAUGCAAGUCGUACGAGAGUUUUAAACUCAAGUGGCGGACGGGUGAGUAACACGUAAGAAUUUGCCUUUAGGAGGGGGACAACAACUGGAAACGGUUGCUAAUACCCCAUAUGCUUUCGAGUAAAAUGGAUUUUUCCGCCUAGAGAGAAGCUUGCGGCUGAUUAGCUUGUUGGUAAGGUAAAGGCUUACCAAGGCGACGAUCAGUAUCUGGUUUGAGAGGACGAUCAGACACACUGGAACUGAGACACGGUCCAGACUCCUGCGGGAGGCAGCAGUGGGGAAUUUUCCGCAAUGGGCGAAAGCCUGACGGAGCAAUCUCGCGUGAGGGAUGACUGCCUAUGGGUUGUAAACCUCUUUUUUCAGGGAGGAAUAAAUGA
This 403-nucleotide ribosomal RNA is filed under the name uncultured bacterium. RNAcentral's name for it is "bacterial SSU rRNA". It matches the Rfam family "Bacterial small subunit ribosomal RNA", at positions 28 to 456 of the family's 1533-position model. The record is from RNAcentral.